RNAcentral lists this ribosomal RNA (464 nucleotides) under uncultured bacterium. RNAcentral describes it as "partial 16S ribosomal RNA". It matches the Rfam family "Bacterial small subunit ribosomal RNA", at positions 338 to 795 of the family's 1533-position model. The record is from RNAcentral.
CCUACGGGUGGCUGCAGUGGGGAAUAUUGCACAAUGGGCGCAAGCCUGAUGCAGCCAUGCCGCGUGUGUGAAGAAGGCCUUCGGGUUGUAAAGCACUUUCAGCGGGGAGGAAGGCGUUAAGGUUAAUAACCUUGGCGAUUGACGUUACCCGCAGAAGAAGCACCGGCUAACUCCGUGCCAGCAGCCGCGGUAAUACGGAGGGUGCAAGCGUUAAUCGGAAUUACUGGGCGUAAAGCGCACGCAGGCGGUCUGUCAAGUCGGAUGUGAAAUCCCCGGGCUCAACCUGGGAACUGCAUUCGAAACUGGCAGGCUAGAGUCUUGUAGAGGGGGGUAGAAUUCCAGGUGUAGGGUGAAAUGCGUAGAGAUCUGGAGGAAUACCGGUGGCGAAGGCGGCCCCCUGGACAAAGACUGACGCUCAGGUGCGAAAGCGUGGGGAGCAAACAGGAUUAGAUACCCGGGUAGUC